UUGACGGGACCCGCACAAGCGGUGGAUGAUGUGGUUUAAUUCGAUGCAACGCGAAAACCUUACCCACCUUUGACAUGGCAGGAAUCCUAAAGAGAUUUGGGAGUGCUCGAAAGAGAACCUGCACACAGGUGCUGCAUGGCUGUCGUCAGCUCGUGUCGUGAGAUGUUGGGUUAAGUCCCGCAACGAGCGCAACCCUUGCCAUUAGUUGCUACGAAAGGGCACUCUAAUGGGACUGCCGGUGACAAACCGGAGGAAGGUGGGGAUGACGUCAAGUCCUCAUGGCCCUUAUAGGUGGGGCUACACACGUCAUACAAUGGAUGGUACAAAGGGUCGCCAACCCGCGAGGGGGAGCCAAUCCCAUAAAGCCAUUCGUAGUCCGGAUCGCAGUCUGCAACUCGACUGCGUGAAGUCGGAAUCGCUAGUAAUCGUGGAUCAGAAUGUCACGGUGAAUACGUUCCCGGGUCUU
RNAcentral lists this ribosomal RNA (466 nucleotides) under uncultured Allobrachymonas sp. RNAcentral's name for it is "bacterial SSU rRNA". It matches the Rfam family "Bacterial small subunit ribosomal RNA", at positions 910 to 1382 of the family's 1533-position model. The record is from RNAcentral. Lineage: Bacteria; Pseudomonadati; Pseudomonadota; Betaproteobacteria; Burkholderiales; Comamonadaceae.